UGGGGAAUUUUGGACAAUGGGCGCAAGCCUGAUCCAGCCAUUCCGCGUGAGUGAAGAAGGCCUUCGGGUUGUAAAGCUCUUUCGCAAGGGAAGAAAACUUAGUCUCUAACAUAGACUGAGGUUGGCGGUACCUUGAUAAGAAGCACCGGCUAACUACGUGCCAGCAGCCGCGGUAAUACGUAGGGUGCGAGCGUUAAUCGGAAUUACUGGGCGUAAAGCGUGCGCGGCGGUUUUGUAAGUCAGAUGUGAAAUCCCCGAGCUCAACUUGGGAACUGCGUUUGAAACUACAAGACUAGAAUGUGUCAGAGGGGGGUAGAAUUCCACGUGUAGCAGUGAAAUGCGUAGAGAUGUGGAGGAAUACCAAUGGCGAAGGCAGCCCCCUGGGAUAAUAUUGACGCUCAUGCACGAAAGCGUGGGGAGCAAACAG
RNAcentral lists this ribosomal RNA (427 nucleotides) under uncultured bacterium. RNAcentral describes it as "bacterial SSU rRNA". It matches the Rfam family "Bacterial small subunit ribosomal RNA", at positions 355 to 775 of the family's 1533-position model. The record is from RNAcentral.